Long non-coding RNA from Stomoxys calcitrans (stable fly), 498 nucleotides. RefSeq lists it as uncharacterized. The record is from RefSeq and is a predicted model, not a curated record. Lineage: Eukaryota; Metazoa; Arthropoda; Insecta; Diptera; Muscidae. The transcript is spliced from 2 exons.
AGUAUCAAAUAACUAUGCAAACGGGGCCACCAAGACAAAAAAUUGGGAGGAGAGGUGGAAAAAGCUGACCCAAUAUACCAGAAAAGUCACAUCAUAUGUAGUCAUACAUAAAAUGCCAUCAAAGAGUUUUGAUUCUUUCUGUAAGUGACAAGUGACCAAUCAGGAGAGAUGCCUGUCUUUCAAAACAUGGCCUGUUGAUAGUUGUCUUUCAACGCAUUCACAUAAUUGCGUUAAUACAUGGCGAGAAUAGAGAAUUUCACACAAAAUAUAUAUUGCCGGAAAAUCACGUUUACAAAUAGUCGUUUAGUUACCAAACGGGUACCAUUGGAGUCGUGCCUAUUGCAAAAUCGAACAAACUGCUUAAAAAACUAGUUCUUAUUAACUGAGAGUCAGCCUCAGACUAUAUAAAGACGAGCCUUCUGUCUGUGUUUACUUAUAAACUUUUAUUGGAAUUUUAAUUAAAUUUUCAAUAAAAAUUUGCGAUUAGUUACUGUCAAA